GAAAUGCGAUAAGUAAUGUGAAUUGCAGAAUUCAGUGAAUCAUCGAAUCUUUGAACGCACCUUGCGCUCCUUGGUAUUCCGAGGAGCAUGCCUGUUUGAGUGUCAGUAGAUUAUCAACCCUUCAAUCCUGUUUUAAUAGGACAUAAAGGUGUUGGAUUUUGGGAGUGGUUAUAUUGCAGGCUGAUAUUGUAUAUUACUUAGUAUGCAAUGGGUUUGCUCUCCUAAAAUGUAUUUAGCAGAACUUUAAUGGUUGAUUUGGCUAUUAUUGUUUAUCUUUAAUAUGGUGUGAUAAGUAUCUACACUAUAUUGAAUAAAUAAGUCAUAUAUAUGUUAAAGUUCAGCAAUUGAUGUUUAUAUAUAAUAUACAUUUGACAAUUUGACCUCAAAUCAGGUAGGAUUACCCGCUGAACUUAA
Molecule: ribosomal RNA, 414 nt
Filed under: Pluteus cervinus
Lineage: Eukaryota; Fungi; Basidiomycota; Agaricomycetes; Agaricales; Pluteaceae
Description: eukaryotic LSU rRNA
Rfam family: 5.8S ribosomal RNA (bases 1-105)
Source: RNAcentral